Burkholderia pseudomallei 7894 is the source of this 92-nucleotide non-coding RNA. Lineage: Bacteria; Pseudomonadati; Pseudomonadota; Betaproteobacteria; Burkholderiales; Burkholderiaceae. The record is from Rfam.
UUCAAUGGUCGGGCCUUGGCGGGGGUGCCUUCGGGCACGCCGGUUUCCUUUUGCGCCGGUUCGCCAACCCUGUCAUGUGCCCGGCCACCCCA